UGGGGAAUCUUCCGCAAUGGACGAAAGUCUGACGGAGCAACGCCGCGUGAGUGAAGAAGGUUUUCGGAUCGUAAAACUCUGUCUUUUGGGGCGAACGUGAGUAUGGUGAACAAUCAUAGUCAGUGACGGUACCAAAGGAGGAAGCCACGGCUAACUACGUGCCAGCGGCCGCGGUAAUACGUAGGUGGCAAGCGUUGUCCGGAAUUAUUGGGCGUAAAGAGCGCGUAGGCGGGAUAGUCAGUCUGUUGUAAAAGUGCGGGGCUCAACCCCGUGAUGGCAAUGGAAACAGCUAUUCUUGAGUGCAGGAGAGGAAAGUGGAAUUCCCAGUGUAGCGGUGAAAUGCGUAGAUAUUGGGAGGAACACCAGUGGCGAAGGCGACUUUCUGGACUGUGUCUGACGCUGAGGCGCGAAAGCCAGGGGAGCGAACGGGAUUAGAUACCCUGGUAGUCCUGGCCGUAAACGAUGGGUACUAGGUGUGGGAGGUAUCGACCCCCUUCCGUGCCGGAGUUAACGCAAUAAGUACCCCGCCUGGGGAGUACGGUCGCAAGACUGAAACUUAAAGGAAUUGACGGGGUCAUAGCUGUUUCCUG
RNAcentral lists this ribosomal RNA (590 nucleotides) under uncultured bacterium. RNAcentral's name for it is "partial 16S ribosomal RNA". It matches the Rfam family "Bacterial small subunit ribosomal RNA", at positions 355 to 1376 of the family's 1533-position model. The record is from RNAcentral.